AGCGAACGUUAGCGGCGGGCCUAACACACGCAAGUCGAACGCGAAAGGUCUUCGGACUGAGUAGAGUGGCGCACGGGUGAGUAACACGUAGGUAAUCUACCCUUUGGCGGGGGAUAACGUUCCGAAAGGAGCGCUAAUACCGCAUAAGACCACGUGGUCUCCGGACCGAGUGGGAAAAGGUGGCCUCUUCUUGAAAGCUACCACCGAAGGAUGAGCCUGCGUCCCAUCAGCUAGUUGGUAAGGUAAUGGCUUACCAAGGCGAAGACGGGUAGCUGGUUUGAGAGAAUGAUCAGCCACACUGGCACUGGAACACGGGCCAGACUCCUACGGGAGGCAGCAGUGAGGAAUAUUGGGCAAUGGGCGAAAGCCUGACCCAGCCACGCCGCGUGAGUGAUGAAGGCCCUCGGGUCGUAAAGCUCUGUGGAGAGGGACGAAAACCCUAGUUUAAAUAGGCUCUAGGCUUGACGGUACCUCUUUAGUCAAGCACCGGCUAACUCUGUGCCACGCAGCCGCGGUAAAG
RNAcentral lists this ribosomal RNA (520 nucleotides) under uncultured bacterium. RNAcentral's name for it is "bacterial SSU rRNA". It matches the Rfam family "Bacterial small subunit ribosomal RNA", at positions 29 to 525 of the family's 1533-position model. The record is from RNAcentral.